CAAAGGCUUGGUCCUGACUUUACCAUCAGCUUUGGCCCAAUUUAUACAUGCAAGUAUCCGCACCCCCGUGAGAAUGCCCUCAAUUCCUCCGCCCGAGGAGGAGGAGCAGGCAUCAGGCACACUAACCAUGCCCAAGACGCCUUGCUAUGCCACACCCUCAAGGGACUUCAGCAGUAAUAGACAUUAAGCUAUGAGUGAAAACUCGACUUAGUUAAGGCCAUGAGGGUCGGUAAAAUUCGUGCCAGCCACCGCGGUUAUACGAAAGACCCUAGUUGAUAGACUACGGCGUAAAGGGUGGUUAAGGAAUACAAAAAUAAAGCUAAAAAUCCUCUAGGCUGUCAUACGCUUUCCGAGGAGAUGAAGCCCCACCACGAAAGUAGCUUUAAGCGUCUCCUGACACCACGAAAGCCAAGAAACAAACUGGGAUUAGAUACCCCACUAUGCUUGGCCAUAAACCAAGAUGCACCAUUACAUAUGCAUCCGCCCGGGUACUACGAGCACAGCUUAAAACCCAAAGGACUUGGCGGUGUCUCAGACCCACCUAGAGGAGCCUGUUCUAGAACCGAUAACCCCCGUUAAACCUCACCACUUCUUGUUUUCCCCGCCUAUAUACCGCCGUCGUCAGCUUACCCUGUGAAGGCUUAGUGUGAAGGCUUAGCAGUAAGCAAAAUGGGCAAACCCAAAAACGUCAGGUCAAGGUGUAGCGUACGAAGUGGGAAGAAAUGGGCUACAUUUUCUAUAAAAAGAAUAUUACGAAUGGUGUUUUGAAAAAAAUACCUGAAGGUGGAUUUAGUAGUAAAAAGCAAACAGAGUGUCCUUUUGAAUUAGGCUCUGAGACGCGCACACACCGCCCGUCACUCUCCCCCACAUAAAUCACUAUCUAACAUCACUAAUAACAUAAGCAUCAAUACGGGGAGGCAAGUCGUAACAUGGUAAGUGUACCGGAAGGUGCACUUGGAAUAAU
RNAcentral lists this non-coding RNA (964 nucleotides) under Platydoras armatulus. Its description in RNAcentral is "12S ribosomal RNA". It matches the Rfam family "Bacterial small subunit ribosomal RNA". The record is from RNAcentral. Lineage: Eukaryota; Metazoa; Chordata; Actinopteri; Siluriformes; Doradidae.